Musa acuminata subsp. malaccensis (wild Malaysian banana) is the source of this 881-nucleotide non-coding RNA. The record is from RefSeq and is a predicted model, not a curated record. Lineage: Eukaryota; Viridiplantae; Streptophyta; Magnoliopsida; Zingiberales; Musaceae.
UCCAACGGCUUCUACCACUCCGAGCUCUCCGAAGCGUAGCCCGUGCGAGGGGUCUCAUUCCUAUAUAAACCGACACCAUCUCGUCCUCUCGCCCUCGAAAUCCGCUUCGACGCGUCCACCACUUGCGCCCGCGAUCACGUCGCGCUUCCACCGGCUCCGAUCUCCAUCCCUUUCUGUUUUACUGAUUUAGUGUGAGGUCGGUCAUCAUGUUUGGGGGUGCGCCGGGGAGUGACGGUCCCGAUUACUAUGAGAUUCUUGGUGUUGCAAAGAGUGCAAGCCAGGAUGAGCUGAAGCAGGCCUAUAAGAAGGCAGCCAUGAAGAAUCAUCCUGAUAAAGUUGGUGACGCUGAGAAAUACGAGGAGUUCUCAAGCAUAUGGAGUUCUCAGUGACCCUAAAAAGAGGGAAAUUGAUGAUAAAUACAGGAAAGAUGCCCUCAUGGGAGGUGGAGACACAUCUCAUUAUCCUUUUGAAAUAUUUGAACAUUUUUUUUGGCGGUGGGACCUUUGGAGGUGGCAACUCUAGACAUUAUAUAUACCUAGAGAAGUGGUGAAGAUGUAGUUCAUAGCUAACGGUUUCUUUAGAAGACUUGUACAACGGUGCAUGCAAAAGGAUUUCCUGGUCGAGAAAUGUGCUAUGUCCAAAAUGCAUAGGGUUAUAGAUAAGUGGAAACUUGUAGCAAAACUACUUGUCCUUUGAUUGAUUCUACUUGUCCACGAAAGGCUCCAAGAGUGGGAAAUCAGAGACAUGCCAUUCAUGUCAAGGUAGAGGCUUGAAGAUUGUAACAAGAAUGCUUGGAUUAGGCAUGAUCCAACAAAUGCAACAUACGUACGAGCAAUACAGCAGCUCAGGUGAGAUCAUCAGCAGAAAGGAUAAGUGCCCUC